UGGAGGCAGCAGUGAGGAAUUUUCGGCAAUGGGCGCAAGCCUGACCGAGCAACGCCGCGUGAGGGAUGAAGGUUUUCGGAUCGUAAACCUCUGUCUUCAGGGACGAUAAUGACGGUACCUGAGGAGGAAGCCACGGCUAACUACGUGCCAGCAGCCGCGGUAAUACGUAGGUGGCAAGCGUUGUCCGGAAUUACUGGGCGUAAAGGGCGUGUAGGCGGCCAUUUAAGUCAGACGUGAAAACCCUGGGCUUAACCCAGGACCUGCGUUUGAAACUAGGUGGCUUGAGGACCGGAGAGGGCAGUGGAAUUCCCAGUGUAGCGGUGAAAUGCGUAGAUAUUGGGAGGAACACCAGUGGCGAAGGCGACUGCCUGGACGGCACCUGACGCUGAGGCGCGAAAGCUAGGGGAGCAAACGGGAUUAGAUACCCGUGUAGUCCG
Molecule: ribosomal RNA, 437 nt
Filed under: uncultured bacterium
Lineage: Bacteria
Description: bacterial SSU rRNA
Rfam family: Bacterial small subunit ribosomal RNA
Source: RNAcentral